CAGCAGCCACGGGAAAACGUAGGGCGCAAGCGUUGUCCGGAAUUAUUGGGCGUAAAGAGCUCGUAGGCGGUCUGUCGCGUCUGGUGUGAAAUCCCGAGGCUCAACCUCGGGCUUGCAUCGGGUACGGGCAGACUAGAGUGCGGUAGGGGAGACUGGAAUUCCUGGUGUAGCGGUGGAAUGCGCAGAUAUCAGGAGGAACACCGAUGGCGAAGGCAGGUCUCUGGGCCGCAACUGACGCUGAGGAGCGAAAGCAUGGGGAGCGAACAGGAUUAGAUACCCCGGUAGUCCCUGUCUCUUAUAC
Molecule: ribosomal RNA, 301 nt
Filed under: uncultured bacterium
Lineage: Bacteria
Description: partial 16S ribosomal RNA
Rfam family: Bacterial small subunit ribosomal RNA
Source: RNAcentral